GAUGAACGCUGGCGGCGUGCCUAAUACAUGCAAGUCGAGCGAACAGAUAAGGAGCUUGCUCCUUUGACGUCAGCGGCGGACGGGUGAGUAACACGUGGAUAACCUACCUAUAAGACUGGGAUAACUUCGGGAAACCGGAGCUAAUACCGGAUAACAUAUUGAACCGCAUGGUUCAAUAGUGAAAGGCGGCUUUGCUUUCACUUAUAGAUGGAUCCGCGCCGUAUUAGCUAGUUGGUAAGGUAACGGCUUACCAAGGCAACGAUACGUAGCCGACCUGAGAGGGUGAUCGGCAACACUGGAACUGAGACACGGUCCAGACUCCUACGGGAGGCAGCAGUAGGGAAUCUUCCGCAAUGGGCGAAAGCCUGACGGAGCAACGCCGCGUGAGUGAUGAAGGUCUUCGGAUCGUAAAACUCUGUUAUCAGGGAAGAACAAAUGUGUAAGUAACUGUGCACAUCUUGACGGUACCUGAUCAGAAAGCCACGGCUAACUACGUG
This 497-nucleotide ribosomal RNA is filed under the name uncultured bacterium. RNAcentral's name for it is "partial 16S ribosomal RNA". It matches the Rfam family "Bacterial small subunit ribosomal RNA", at positions 28 to 507 of the family's 1533-position model. The record is from RNAcentral.